This 849-nucleotide ribosomal RNA is filed under the name Microbacterium flavescens. RNAcentral's name for it is "bacterial SSU rRNA". It matches the Rfam family "Bacterial small subunit ribosomal RNA", at positions 56 to 916 of the family's 1533-position model. The record is from RNAcentral. Lineage: Bacteria; Bacillati; Actinomycetota; Actinomycetes; Micrococcales; Microbacteriaceae.
UGCAGUCGAACGGUGAAGCCCAGCUUGCUGGGUGGAUCAGUGGCGAACGGGUGAGUAACACGUGAGCAACCUGCCCCGGACUCUGGGAUAAGCGCUGGAAACGGCGUCUAAUACUGGAUACGAACCACAGUCGCAUGGCUAGUGGUUGGAAAGAUUUUUCGGUCUGGGAUGGGCUCGCGGCCUAUCAGCUUGUUGGUGAGGUAAUGGCUCACCAAGGCGUCGACGGGUAGCCGGCCUGAGAGGGUGACCGGCCACACUGGGACUGAGACACGGCCCAGACUCCUACGGGAGGCAGCAGUGGGGAAUAUUGCACAAUGGGCGCAAGCCUGAUGCAGCAACGCCGCGUGAGGGACGACGGCCUUCGGGUUGUAAACCUCUUUUAGCAAGGAAGAAGCGAAAGUGACGGUACUUGCAGAAAAAGCGCCGGCUAACUACGUGCCAGCAGCCGCGGUAAUACGUAGGGCGCAAGCGUUAUCCGGAAUUAUUGGGCGUAAAGAGCUCGUAGGCGGUUUGUCGCGUCUGCUGUGAAAACCCGAGGCUCAACCUCGGGCCUGCAGUGGGUACGGGCAGACUAGAGUGCGGUAGGGGAGAUUGGAAUUCCUGGUGUAGCGGUGGAAUGCGCAGAUAUCAGGAGGAACACCGAUGGCGAAGGCAGAUCUCUGGGCCGUAACUGACGCUGAGGAGCGAAAGGGUGGGGAGCAAACAGGCUUAGAUACCCUGGUAGUCCACCCCGUAAACGUUGGGAACUAGUUGUGGGGUCCAUUCCACGGAUUCCGUGACGCAGCUAACGCAUUAAGUUCCCCGCCUGGGGAGUACGGCCGCAAGGCUAAAACUCAAAGGAAUUGACGG